Long non-coding RNA from Drosophila simulans, 943 nucleotides. RefSeq lists it as uncharacterized. The record is from RefSeq and is a predicted model, not a curated record. Lineage: Eukaryota; Metazoa; Arthropoda; Insecta; Diptera; Drosophilidae. The transcript has 2 exons.
UUGGCCUUUGAUUGGCAUUGCAUGCUCAUACACAUUAUUCCGAAUACGAAUCUGAAUCCAAAUCAAAACGAAACAGCUCGAAUAAAAGCUUAAAUACUUAAACAACGAGAUCGGACCAAGUGCGGAUGGCAGUUCCGUUCGCUCCGUUCGUUAUGAGCAGCUGCCACAACCAGAUAUGCAGUGCUUCAUACAGUGGGCCUUCUGGUGAUUCAUCAUUGGGCCCUGGACAGGAAUGGCUGUCAACGUCAAAGAACCAUGAACUAGGAACCGACCGAGAACCAUGUGCUGCAAACUCAGAGCCGUGCUCAAACUCAGAGUAGCGACAUUAAAGCGCAGAAAUGCCAGCAAAGGAGCCGAGUUAAUGAGAUUUAAGCCGCAACUCUGGGACAUGGCGCGUUUUGAAUUUAAUAGCCACCACUGGCGAGCGGCGUCACCAAAAAAAGAAACCCCAAAGAAUAUCAGCACCGAGUGGUCUAACUGAGUUUUACGACAUUGUUUUUCCAGGGAGCCGGCGAGCAACUACAUAAUCAACGAGAAAAAAAUGAAGCUAACUGGUUCCGUUUCCAUGCGGAUCAAUCAAACAAUAAGUCAGGCAGCCAAAACUGAAGCUUCAUUAAAAGGAAAUGUUCGAUCUAGACAAGCAAAUCGAGACAACCACCCACAGGAACACUCCGUGGACAAGCUGUCAGUCCGUGUUCGCCGAUCUAUCCGUGGAUUCGGAUUCCGAGAUCCAGAGAUUCAGUGAUCCAGUGCUGACAUUUGACAUGCGUCCGCUGCCCCAACAAAUGAGGCACAGACUUCUGCGAUUGCUGCCACUGUGGGUUGCAUGCAAAUCGGAGCUGCCUCGGAAAAACUGGAAAACUGGUAGCCGAAGCCAGUGCAGGUCGAGGCAAAAGUCAGUGGAAAACAUACAAGCGGGAAUAAAAACGAAAAUGCAAAACGA